This 382-nucleotide ribosomal RNA is filed under the name uncultured bacterium. RNAcentral's name for it is "bacterial SSU rRNA". It matches the Rfam family "Bacterial small subunit ribosomal RNA", at positions 28 to 416 of the family's 1533-position model. The record is from RNAcentral.
GGUAAACGCUGGCGGCGUGCCUAAAACAUGCAAGUCGAACGGAUAGUCGCAAGAUUAUCAGUGGCAGACGGCUGAGUAACGCGUGGGUGACGUGCCGAUAGGUGGGGAAUAACUGCCCGAAAGGGUGGCUAAUACCGCAUACGUCCACUGAUUCGAUUCAGUGGGGAAAGCUUCGCAAGAGGCGCCGAUAGAGCGGCCCGCGUCCGAUUAGCUGGUUGGUGGGGUAACGGCCACCAAGGCGACGAUCGGUAGCUGGUCUUAGAGGAUGAUCAGCCAGACUGGGACUGAGACACGGCCCAGACUCCUACGGGAGGCAGCAGUUAGGAAUUUUGGGCAAUGGGCGCAAGCCUGACCCAGCAACGCCGCGUGGGUGACGAAGGCC